GGUCCCGUGGUGCAAUGGUUAACACUCUGGACUUUGAAUCCAGCUAACCGAGUUCAAAUCUCGGUGGGACCU
This is a non-coding RNA of Nematostella vectensis (starlet sea anemone), 72 nucleotides long. Lineage: Eukaryota; Metazoa; Cnidaria; Anthozoa; Actiniaria; Edwardsiidae. The record is from Rfam.